ACCAGACGAUGCGGUUACCGCGGCUGCUGGCACGGAGUUAGCCGGUGCUUCUUCUGCGAGUAACGUCACAGAUGUAAGGUAUUAACUUACACCCUUUCCUCCUCGCUGAAAGUGCUUUACAACCCGAAGGCCUUCUUCACACACGCGGCAUGGCUGCAUCCAGGGUUUCCCCCAUUGUGCAAUAUUCCCCACUGCUGCCUCCCGUAGGAGUCUGGGCCGUGUCUCAGUCCCAGUGUGGCUGAUCAUCCUCUCAGACCAGCUAGGGAUCGUCGCCUAGGUGAGCCUUUACCUCACCUACUAGCUAAUCCCACCUGGGCUUAUCCAUCAGCGCAAGU
This 335-nucleotide ribosomal RNA is filed under the name uncultured bacterium. Its description in RNAcentral is "partial 16S ribosomal RNA". The record is from RNAcentral.